This 301-nucleotide unclassified non-coding RNA is filed under the name uncultured fungus. Its description in RNAcentral is "sequence contains ITS1". Lineage: Eukaryota; Fungi. The record is from RNAcentral.
AAAGAAGAUUGAAGACGAAGACUUCUGGCAGGAAAUGUCAGACGUGGCCGUUCUGUCCUAUAUCGAAUACCUCUCUCCCAGCGUCCAGAGCCGCAUCAUGGCGCUGGCGCCUCACUACAGACGCGGAUACACCAAAGCUUCGCAAAGCUGGUACUGGAUGAAUCACUGCGCCGGUUGCGGCACGCCCCAGGGCGACCACGAAUUGUUUCGUGAACCGGAAGGCGGCUUCCUGCCGACACAGUUCGGGCCGGCGCGCGACAUACGGCUCCACCGGCUCGACCAGCCGCUGCAGGCUGCAGCU